CCCUUAGAUGUUCUGGGCCGCACGCGUGCUACACUGAGUGGAUCAGCGGGUCAGGUUGCGCGAAAGCGUUUCCUAAUCUUUAAAUCCGCUCGUGAUGGGGAUUGACGGUUGCAAUUUUCUGUCAUGAACGAGGAAUACCUUGUAAGCGCGGGUCAUCAUCCCGCGCUGAAUACGUCCCUGCCCUUUGUACACACCGCCCGUCGCUCCUACCGAUUGAGUGGUCCGGUGAAUAAUUCAGACUGCAGCAGCAUCCAGUUCCUGGAAGUUGUAGCGGAAAGUUUCGUGAACCUUAUCACUUAGAGGAAGGAGAAGUCGUAACA
This 320-nucleotide ribosomal RNA is filed under the name uncultured eukaryote. RNAcentral describes it as "partial 18S ribosomal RNA". It matches the Rfam family "Eukaryotic small subunit ribosomal RNA", at positions 1470 to 1796 of the family's 1831-position model. The record is from RNAcentral.